RNAcentral lists this unclassified non-coding RNA (596 nucleotides) under Hevea brasiliensis (rubber tree). Lineage: Eukaryota; Viridiplantae; Streptophyta; Magnoliopsida; Malpighiales; Euphorbiaceae. The record is from RNAcentral.
GUCCAAACUGCCCACAGCAAGGACCAGAAUAAUGCCUUCGCUUUCUGGAUAUAUCAUUUCCAUCUCUGGGCCUUCUCUCUUUUAGUUUUCCUAGACUAAUAGUAUCAUGAGGAUUUCCAAUUGCUACAGUCUGAACUAUUCCAUCAGCACCUUCAUUUGGUAGAAUCAAUGACUCAGAUGGGCAAUUGUAGGCAUUCUCACAAUGUGUUUGCCUAGGAAGAUCCUUAAUAUGAGAUAAUACCAUAGCAAUUUGCUCACAUGCAACAUCAAGGCGUUCCUCUGUUUCAAUUGAUUCUGUCACAAAUGUUGACACCAUGGAUUCUAGUAACUGAAUCCUUUCAGAAUGCACUCUUGUAUUGGAUGACAAACUAACAUCACACCAUCGGGUAGGCAAAAAUUGGUCUGGAAUGUGAAAACAGUUAUUGGUUGAUAGGACACGGAGAACAUGCCUACAAAGGAUGCCUAGAAAUUCAAACUGAUUGCAGCUACAACUGAUAUGCUCUUGACAAGGAUCCCAAACGACUUUGCACCCCCCAGAUACCUGAGUAUGGUGUCUGACUUGGUAACAAUAUUCAUCUAUCGGAAAAGACGCAUAC